This 729-nucleotide long non-coding RNA is filed under the name Dasypus novemcinctus (nine-banded armadillo). Its description in RNAcentral is "lncRNA (ENSDNOG00000051732.1)". The record is from RNAcentral. Lineage: Eukaryota; Metazoa; Chordata; Mammalia; Cingulata; Dasypodidae.
CUCUCCUCUCUCUUCCUCUCUGCUCUCACUCCUCUCUCUCUGUCUCUCCUUUUGCCAUCUACAUGAUCCUUGAUUAAACAUGGAACAGAGUUAAUAAAAAAAAGGGGGGGGGGGAGGACUCAAGGAGAGGAAAUGCAACUGUCAGAAAACGGGACGGCCAGAUUUCCUGGUGAACCUGCCUCUGUCUGAGUCAGUGUCAAUCCACCAUCUUCCGCCAGUGAACUUGUCUUUGGGUUUUUGUUUGUUUGCUGUUUUUUUUUUUGGGGGGGGGGGUGUUGUUGUUGUUGUGUGUGCUGUUUUGGGGAGGGGGAGGGGAAAUGUCAAGGUAGGGCCGGAGGUGUGAGGGGAUAGGGAGAAAGUGUGAGUGUGUGUAGGGUGUAAGUGUGUAUGUAUGUGUGUAGAGGUCGGGGAGGGGGGGAGUCCGUGUUUGUGAUCUGAACCUCUGGUACCUAAAGGAGGGAGUCUCAUCUCACCGAACGGUAGCUAAAACCUCACCAGAACCGAGAGCAAGUGAGGAGUCGCCGCCAAAGGCGCCCGCCGGAGCCUCCUCCCUCGGCCGGACCCCAGCCCCAGCAGCUGAAAGGAGCCCCCGCCCGGAUCACAGCAGACCCAGCUGCGAACGCGCCCCGAGCGAACUGACGCCGCCUCCCGGGUCCCCGUCCCCGCGGCCCGGCGAUCCCGCCUCCUAACGGACCUGCCGUGCGGGCGCCGCCGCCGGCACCAGCGCCC